This is a non-coding RNA of Peniophora sp. CONT, 75 nucleotides long. NCBI's taxonomy places the organism in Eukaryota, Fungi, Basidiomycota, Agaricomycetes, Russulales, Peniophoraceae. The record is from Rfam.
AGCAGCAUGGCGCAGCUGGUAUAGCGCGCGGGGCUCAUAACCCCGAGGUCCUUGGAUCGAAACCAAGUGCUGCUA